GGGUAAGUCUCUCACGACCAGCUCCUGCUAAAUCCCCCAGGUUGGGAACGAAGCAAGGGUAAGUGGUUGAGCGGUGCGAUGAGAGUAGCUUACCCAUU
Molecule: signal recognition particle RNA, 98 nt
Filed under: Bacteroidia bacterium
Lineage: Bacteria; Pseudomonadati; Bacteroidota; Bacteroidia
Description: signal recognition particle sRNA small type
Rfam family: Bacteroidales small SRP
About the family: The non-coding component of the signal recognition particle in Bacteroides
Source: RNAcentral